UACGAAGGGGGCUAGCGUUGUUCGGAAUCACUGGGCGUAAAGGGCGCGUAGGCGGCCGAUCAAGUCGGGGGUGAAAGCCUGUGGCUCAACCACAGAAUUGCCUUCGAUACUGGUUGGCUUGAGACCGGAAGAGGUAAGUGGAACUGCGAGUGUAGAGGUGAAAUUCGUAGAUAUUCGCAAGAACACCAGUGGCGAAGGCGGCUUACUGGUCCGGUACUGACGCUGAGGUGCGAAAGCGUGGGGAGCAAACAGG
This 253-nucleotide ribosomal RNA is filed under the name uncultured bacterium. RNAcentral describes it as "partial 16S ribosomal RNA". It matches the Rfam family "Bacterial small subunit ribosomal RNA", at positions 524 to 776 of the family's 1533-position model. The record is from RNAcentral.